RNAcentral lists this ribosomal RNA (492 nucleotides) under uncultured bacterium. RNAcentral's name for it is "partial 16S ribosomal RNA". It matches the Rfam family "Bacterial small subunit ribosomal RNA", at positions 29 to 507 of the family's 1533-position model. The record is from RNAcentral.
AGUGAACGCUGGCGGUAGGCCUAACACAUGCAAGUCGAACGGCAGCACAGUAAGAGCUUGCUCUUACGGGUGGCGAGUGGCGGACGGGUGAGGAGUACAUCGGAAUCUACUUUUUCGUGGGGGAUAACGUAGGGAAACUUACGCUAAUACCGCAUACGACCUACGGGUGAAAGCAGGGGAUCUUCGUACCUUGCGCGAUUGAAUGAGCCGAUGUCGGAUUAGCUAGUUGGCGGGGUAAAGGCCCACCAAGGCGACGAUCCGUAGCUGGUCUGAGAGGAUGAUCAGCCACACUGGAACUGAGACACGGUCCAGACUCCUACGGGAGGCAGCAGUGGGGAAUAUUGGACAAUGGGCGCAAGCCUGAUCCAGCCAUACCGCGUGGGUGAAGAAGGCCUUCGGGUUGUAAAGCCCUUUUGUUGGGAAAGAAAAGCAGCAGGUUAAUACCCCGCUGUUCUGACGGUACCCAAAGAAUAAGCACCGGCUAACUUCGUG